RNAcentral lists this long non-coding RNA (2282 nucleotides) under Capsicum annuum. RNAcentral's name for it is "long non-coding RNA (CANN_LNC012043)". Lineage: Eukaryota; Viridiplantae; Streptophyta; Magnoliopsida; Solanales; Solanaceae. The record is from RNAcentral.
AUCUUUUUCCUUCACCUUUUAGGAUCUAGCACUCACUUUAUGUUCUAACAAUAUAUGAAGGAAGGUGAAGAACUUUAAGAACAACAACAACCACACCACGAACAAUAACAACAAUCUUCAAGAACAACAACAAUUCCAAUGGCCAACUCCAAUCCACAACAACAAACGGCAAAGUCUCUUUAGUGUUGUGUCUUUGAUUUUAACAAGAUAUGAAGGUUGUGAAGAACUUCAAGAAUACAACAACAUUCACCAAGAACUACAACAACAACACUCCUUUCAACAAUAAUAACCACACACAUGGCCAAGUCAAGUUUUUCAACAAUAAUGUCUACCACACGGUCUUACUUGGUCAUGACAACGAAAACAAAGCUCAAACUUAGAUAUUGACUCAAGUGUUAGUAAAUAACAAAGCUAACACUAGAAAAACUCAAGACAAACAAAAAUCUCGGCCAAGACACAAGAAGAACGUAAUUCUUGGUCAAGAACACAACACGGGCAGAUUGCAUUCUCACAUGCGUCUAUCUUCGUGGUCGUACUUGUAUCAGGGGUAAAAUAAGUUUUCAUAAGAACAGGUAUGAAAUUCUCCCUUGAUUCUUUGGCACAAAGAUAGUUUAUGCAUCUUGUUGUGUUUUGAAAAAUCAAAAGAUUCAAUAAAUACUAGUAGGAUCCUAUUUCUAAUUGUACGUUAGUGUGGAAAAAAUAUUAGAGUCAUGAUUUCUAAUCAAUGGUAAAAGCAUGUCGUGAUUACACCAUGAUUGGUGAAUGAUUGCUUAGCAAUCUUAGAACAUUGACAAGGCUUCAAGCCAUUACUUUUAUUCGUUAAAGUUAAUGUUGGAAUAGUGUUUCUAUGGGAUUUUGGAUUUUUAUAUUAUUUUAUUUGUAUGAGAUUCUACUUCUAAAUAUGAGUAUUAUUAUAUUAAGCAAAAUUUUUACCAAUUAAGUUUGAAUAGCGAGAUAAAGAUCUUUUUAAAUUUUGGGUUUAAUAUGUGAGAUAGUAAGGUUUAGUUCUAAUAUUAAAAGUUAGGGAUAUUGAGACUUGACCGGAUUCGCUUACUUAAUAUCGUUAAUUAAUAUUUUGGUAUAGAUUGAGGGCUAUUGGAGGUUGUUUGGUUGGUGUUCUACGCGUUGCAAGGUUGAAAAUUUUGUCAUUAGCGAGGUAAGUGAAACUUUAAGCUUUGGUGCUUGCUUUUCAAAUUUAUUUUAAAAAUAUAUUUUUAUCUGUCCAGUCUAUGUGUUGGGACUAGCAUGUGCUUGGCAGAAUCAACGGUCUUUAAGGCCGGCCACAUAUACUUUAUGUUAAGAAUGCUAAUUCUCCUUUUUAUAAAUUAUUUCGUGAUGUGAUAUGAUUGUGUAUUGUGAGAUUGGGAUAUUGUGUAUGCUUCUUAAUUCCUUUAGGGCAUUGUGUAUGCUUCUUAAUUCCUUUGGGCAUUGUGUAUGUUUCUUAAUUCCUUUGGGCAUUGUGUAUGCUUCUUAAUUCCUUUGGGGCAUUGUGUAUGCUUGCCUUGAGGAUUGUGUAUGUUUGUUGAUUUUAUAUGGGGCAUUGUGUAUGUUUCCCUUGAGCAUUGUGUAUGCUUGUUGAUUUGAUAUGGGACAUUGUGUAUGCUCCCCCUAAGUAUUAUGUAUACUCCUGAUAUAUUUAAUGCAUUGUAUAUGUUGCUCGAAACCUCUAGUGUUGGCUAAUUACUUUAAUUGCAAAUUAUGAUAAGUGCUUUGUAUGAAAUUAUGUUGAGAUAUAUGUUUCUUGAUGAAGGUUUGUUGAACCUCGUUGGUUACCUUAUUAUGAUAUAGUUCCGUGUGUAAUAAUUUUAUAUUCUUGGUGUUGUUGUAUUUUCUAAUAUUUGUCCCAGGAGUACUUAAAGCAGCGAGCCGAUGAUCUUACUAAGUUAUAUUUACAUAUAGCUCACUCCUUACUUACAUAUCUAUAGAUACCGUUGCGGAGGGAGAGACCAGUGGCUGAUGGUUCUUACGCGUGAAUUACAGUACUGAGGUGAACCUUCCCAUUGAUCGUGAAGGCUGUCAUUCAGCGUUAGAUCUUUUAGAUUACAUUUCUUUUCGUUGGGUUUGCAUGCCCGAAAGUUGAACUCAUGUAACCCUAUUUAGAUGCUCCAUGAACUUAUAGUGGGACUUGGGUAAGAGAUAUGAUAUCUAAACUACUGUUGUUUUCAUAAAUCUCUAAGCAGUAUCUUGUUGGAUACUUACUCUGCAUUAAUGAUUAUUUCAUGCAUGUGGAGUUGUAUGUGUGUUUUUAGACCAUAUGAAUAUAUGAAAAAUUGAUUCUCCCG